This 72-nucleotide transfer RNA is filed under the name Camelus bactrianus (Bactrian camel). It matches the Rfam family "tRNA". From Rfam's summary of the family: Transfer RNA (tRNA) molecules are approximately 80 nucleotides in length. Their secondary structure includes four short double-helical elements and three loops (D, anti-codon, and T loops). Further hydrogen bonds mediate the characteristic L-shaped molecular structure. tRNAs have two regions of fundamental functional importance: the anti-codon, which is responsible for specific mRNA codon recognition, and the 3' end, to which the tRNAs corresponding amino acid is attached (by aminoacyl-tRNA synthetases). tRNAs cope with the degeneracy of the genetic code in two manners: having more than one tRNA (with a specific anti-codon) for a particular amino acid; and 'wobble' base-pairing, i.e. permitting non-standard base-pairing at the 3rd anti-codon position. Lineage: Eukaryota; Metazoa; Chordata; Mammalia; Artiodactyla; Camelidae. The record is from Rfam by way of RNAcentral. RNAcentral also lists the same sequence under 1 other name.
GAGGGUAUAGCUCAGUGGUAGAGCACAUGCUUAGUAUGCAGGAGGUCCUGGGUUCAAUUCCCAGUACCUCUA